RNAcentral lists this ribosomal RNA (1369 nucleotides) under uncultured bacterium. Its description in RNAcentral is "bacterial SSU rRNA". It matches the Rfam family "Bacterial small subunit ribosomal RNA". The record is from RNAcentral.
UUUGAUCAUGGCUCAUAAUUGAACGCUGGCGGCAUGCUUUACACAUGCAAGUCGGACGGCAGCACAGAGAAGCUUGCUUCUUGGGUGGCGAGUGGCGAACGGGUGAGUAAUAUAUCGGAACGUACCGAGUAAUGGGGGAUAACUAAUCGAAAGAUUAGCUAAUACCGCAUAUUCUCUGAGGAGGAAAGCAGGGGACCUUCGGGCCUUGCGUUAUUCGAGCGGCCGAUAUCUGAUUAGCUAGUUGGUGAGAUAACUGCCCACCAAGGUGACGAUCAGUAGCCGACCUGAGAGGGUGAUCGGCCACAUUGGAACUGAGACACGGUCCAAACUCCUACGGGAGGCAGCAGUGGGGAAUAUUGCACAAUGGGCGAAAGCCUGAUGCAGCAACGCCGCGUGAACGAUGAAGGUCUUCGGAUCGUAAAGUUCUGUUGCAGGGGAAGAUAAUGACGGUACCCUGUGAGGAAGCCCCGGCUAACUACGUGCCAGCAGCCGCGGUAAUACGUAGGGGGCUAGCGUUAUCCGGAUUUACUGGGCGUAAAGGGUGCGUAGGUGGUCCUUCAAGUCGGUGGUUAAAGGCUACGGCUCAACCGUAGUAAGCCGCCGAAACUGGAGGACUUGAGUGCAGGAGAGGAAAGUGGAAUUCCCAGUGUAGCGGUGAAAUGCGUAGAUAUUGGGAGGAACACCAGUAGCGAAGGCGGCUUUCUGGACUGCAACUGACACUGAGGCACGAAAGCGUGGGUAGCAAACAGGAUUAGAUACCCUGGUAGUCCACGCUGUAAACGAUGAGUACUAGGUGUCGGGGGUUACCCCCCUCGGUGCCGCAGCUAACGCAUUAAGUACUCCGCCUGGGGAGUACGCACGCAAGUGUGAAACUCAAAGGAAUUGACGGGGACCCGCACAAGUAGCGGAGCAUGUGGUUUAAUUCGAAGCAACGCGAAGAACCUUACCUAAGCUUGACAUCCCUCGGACAGGUGUUUAAUCACACCCUUCCUUCGGGACUGAGGUGACAGGUGGUGCAUGGUUGUCGUCAGCUCGUGUCGUGAGAUGUUGGGUUAAGUCCCGCAACGAGCGCAACCCUUGUCUUUAGUUGCCAGCAUUCAGUUGGGCACUCUAGAGAGACUGCCAGGGAUAACCUGGAGGAAGGUGGGGAUGACGUCAAAUCAUCAUGCCCCUUAUGCUUAGGGCUACACACGUGCUACAAUGGGUGGUACAGAGGGUUGCCAAACCGUGAGGUGGAGCCAAUCCCUUAAAGCCAUUCUCAGUUCGGAUUGUAGGCUGAAACUCGCCUACAUGAAGCUGGAGUUACUAGUAAUCGCAGAUCAGAAUGCUGCGGUGAAUGCGUUCCCGGGUCUUGCACACACCGCCCGUC